RNAcentral lists this ribosomal RNA (431 nucleotides) under uncultured bacterium. RNAcentral describes it as "partial 16S ribosomal RNA". It matches the Rfam family "Bacterial small subunit ribosomal RNA", at positions 355 to 773 of the family's 1533-position model. The record is from RNAcentral.
UGGGGAAUUUUGGACAAUGGGGAAACCCGAUCGAUCCAGCCCAUCCCGCCGUGUGCGAUGAAGGCCUUCGGGUUGUAAAGCACUUUUGGCAGGAAAGAAACGUCGCGGGUUAAUACCCCGCGAACAUGACGGUACCUGCAGAAUAAGCACCGGCUAACUACGUGCCAGCAGCCGCGGUAAUACGUAGGGUGCAAGCGUUAAUCGGAAUUACUGGGCGUAAAGCGUGCGCAGGCGGUUCGGAAAGAAAGAUGUGAAAUCCCAGAGCUUAACUUUGGAACUGCAUUUUUAACUACCGGGCUAGAGUGUGUCAGAGGGAGGUGGAAGUUCCGCGUGCAGCAGUGAAAUGCGUAGAUAUGCGGAGGAACACCGAUGGCGAAGGCAGCCUCCUGGGAUAACACUGACGCUCAUGCACGAAAGCGUGGGGAGCAAAC